CCUACGGGAGGCAGCAGUGAGGAAUAUUGGUCAAUGGGCGGAAGCCUGAACCAGCCAAGUCGCGUGAGGGAGUAAGGCCCUACGGGUCGUAAACCUCUUUUGCCGGGGAGCAGUGCCCAGCUCGUGAGCUGGGAGGGAGCGUACCCGGAGAAAAAGCAUCGGCUAACUCCGUGCCAGCAGCCGCGGUAAUACGGAUGAUUCAAGCGUUAUCCGGAUUUAUUGGGUUUAAAGGGUGCGUAGGCGGUCGGAUAAGUUAGAGGUGAAAUCCCGAGGCUCAACUUCGGAAUUGCCUCUGAUACUGUUCGGCUAGAGAGUAGUUGCGGUAGGCGGAAUGUAUGGUGUAGCGGUGAAAUGCUUAGAGAUCAUACAGAACACCGAUUGCGAAGGCAGCUUACCAAGCUACUUCUGACGUUGAGGCACGAAAGCGUGGGGAGCAAACAGGAUUAGAUACCCUUGUAGUC
RNAcentral lists this ribosomal RNA (461 nucleotides) under uncultured bacterium. Its description in RNAcentral is "partial 16S ribosomal RNA". It matches the Rfam family "Bacterial small subunit ribosomal RNA", at positions 338 to 795 of the family's 1533-position model. The record is from RNAcentral.